AGCUGGAACGCGGGCGGGAGGAGAGCAGGGUGACCCACGGCUCUCAGGACGCCAGGCCCGCCAUCUUCCCGCAUGCGCAGUGCGCCGCCCCCAGUGCGCAUGCCCGGCGCGGCCGGAGCGCUCCCAAACACAGACCCGCUCCCGAAGGCCGGAGCCCGAGAAGUCCCGGAGAGCGGAGUCCGCGGAAAGGAUGGCGAAGGAAAAGGAAGACAUGGAGCAGGAAUUCCAGACGAAGGGAACGGGGCGAGAGGAAAGAGGCAGCCGGGACAACGCAGUGGUCGCCUCGGAAUUCUCGACACUAAAGGUCAGUACCCUUUUUAGGAAGGUGAUGAGGCACAAGGACAAACACUUGGCGGGAAAGGAGUGUCGUAGAGAUGGAAGGAUGCAGAAAGAGGAGAGGUGGCAUGGAGGAAGGAACAGACAAACCUGGACUGGAGCGAGUCCUGCAUCCACCCUUAUUAGCCUCACUGGCAAGCAUCUUAACCCUUAGGAUCCUCAGUUUCUCUGUUUGUAAACUGAGGGUAAACAUACCUCCAAUUCUGCUGUGUUAGAGACAAUGGACGUCAAGUCCCUGGUGCAUUGAAUCCAUCUUCAGUGGUAACACAAACUUCCUAGCUUCACAGGGGCUGUUUCUAACCAAGUCUCAAAGCUCCCUACCCCAGUGACUAAAAAUGGUUCUAAAAUGACAUCAAGUAGAACAAAGCCGGGCGGCUGACUCUUUGUUCUGAGGUUUUUGUUCAGAGUUUGACAAGCUUUCCAGAGAGCUCCCAAGAAGAUGCUAGCCCACGAAAGUUGUCAUUGGUCCAGAUGCACGGAUUCAGUCUCUCCACUUAGCAACAGUAUUUGCCUCCUGCUUCAGAAAAGGAAACAAAAAAGUAAGCCUGCAGUUAAAUACACCCACAAGGGCAAAUCCCCAUGAAAGCCUGUCAAAAAAGAGCUGUGGGAAAGAUGAGCUAUUGCUGUACGCCUGGGUGAACUCCAAUGAGGAAGCCACAAAGGGGAGGGAGGAUGGGCACAGGGGCUUGUCAGUUGCAGCCCCCCAAAGGGUUUCAGCCUUUCCCUCCUCCUGAUUCCCACUGCCCCACAACUGCCCUCAUAGUCAUUGUUCCUGGACUGUUUUAACUGCUUCCUAAUUCAUUCGCCUGUCCUGCCAUUUCCAAGGGACUCUAUACUAUCACUGUCAAAUUAAACAACUGCCUUUUGGGGGGUGGCUGUUGACCUUUCAUUGCAGGAGAAAUCUUUCUAAAGCGUGGGUCUGAUCUCAUCACUCCUCUGCUUAAAAGCUGUCAGUGUACUUUGUCUGUAUUAUGCUUGAGGUUAGUGGUUUCCCCUGGGCACUGGUCACUUGCCUGCCUAGCUGUCUCCCGCAUCACACUUUUGGAGGGAGGGCAGGGGCUGGGUCCUGGGCACUCAGGGGCCCCCACCACCUUAUCAGAGCCAUUGGAUGCAUCACUUUCUCUCAGUCACAUUAAUCUUCAUUCAAUUCCUCAAAAGCUUUCCCUCACUGCUGAGUCUUCUCACAUCUUGUUUUCUUUGCUAGAACGUUAACCCUUUGACGCCUCCCCUAGCAAAUGCCUCAUCCUUAUUUUUCACAUUCUCCCCACCCCUCAGAAAGGCUUCUCUGAACCCCCAGAUGAGGCUAGCGCCCCAGCCUCCUUCCCAUGUGUUGUCUGAUGAGCCCCACAACCUGGACUGAUGCCCCCAGUAACCUUUCACCAUCCAUAGACACAUUACAUUAUAAAUAAAUAGCAUUUGAAAAAAACCUAAACUCUUUACUAUGUUGACUUCAAAAUGUAAAUUCUAAAGCAAAACAUGGCAACCCAAAUUAUAGAGGUAAUAGUUUGUCUUAAAUCUUUGAAGCACACCUUAACGCUGGAUUUUGUUUUAAUUCAGCAUUAUCAGAUUAUUGAUAAGUUUAGCAACUUUUAUUUUUCCUCCGACUGAAUUUUAUGAUGAAUGAUACUAAUGUUCUUAGUAUUUCUUAAAUAUUGUAGGUUUACGUUAGUUUCAUUUUGGGAAAAGAAAAUCCAUUUUAUUAAUUGUGUUAUUGUGUUAUUAAUUGUGCUAUUAUAAAAUCCAUUUGUAUUAAUUGUGUGGAAAGAAGACUUACAAUCAGCAAACUUGAAACCUUUUGUUUUCUUUGUUAGGUAGUUACACAUCAUUUUUAUAAUGAAAAAGAUAAAUGAUAAUACCUUCCCCUAAAAGAAAAGAAAGUUGCCAAAUAUUGGAGGAUAACCACGUUGGUUUCAGACUUCUGAUACCAACAGUACAAAAUUAUCAUUAGACCUCUGAGAAAUUUUGGACGAUGAAAAUUAAACAAGAAAGCUGUUAAUUUUUUGAAGAGGCUCAUUUAUAUGGCUCAAAAUUCAAAAGGUACCAGAGUAAACAGUGAAAAAUGUCCCUCCCACGCCUGUCUCUCAGCGGUGAAGUCUAAAGUCCUCUCUGAAGCUCACAUUGCACGGGUUUUAUAUGGAUUGUUGCAGAGAUAUUUUAUGCACAAAUAGUGCUCUAUGUUAUUUCCCCAAGCCUUGUUUGCACACUAAUAAUCAUACUAUUUCUCGAUUUUUUUAACCUAGCAAAAUAUCUUGCAGAUUGUUCCCUAACAGCGCAAUAAAAGUUUUUCUCACUCUU
Delphinapterus leucas (beluga whale) is the source of this 2631-nucleotide long non-coding RNA. RefSeq lists it as uncharacterized. Lineage: Eukaryota; Metazoa; Chordata; Mammalia; Artiodactyla; Monodontidae. The record is from RefSeq and is a predicted model, not a curated record.